CAGGUACAGUUGCUGGGAAAGGCAUAUUGAGAAGAAGAAGAGUUUAAGUAAAGGUCCUGGGGCAGGGAAAGAGAGGUGCUGGUAGAACAUGCCACAGGCUGGCUGUGCAUUGUCACAUGACCAGUGCUUCUCCAAGUUUCAGUUGAGAAGGAGACAAUUCCCUUGGCCCCAGAGGAGUCCAGGAGCCUUUAGGGCCACCAAAGCCCAUCUUUAUUUUGGGUGUACCUUGAAGGCUCUGCUGUUGACCUUACCUGUACACUCAUGGUACCUCUGGUCCCUAAGAUGUUGCAGAAGGCAAAUCUGGCCCUUUGCCAGGCUCAAAGCCAGCCUGCUAGAUCCUCCUCUAUAACUGCAGAUCCCCGGGAUUGCUCUGACUCCUGAAUAAGCAUGGGCGGGAACCAGUGCCCCUGUGGGACUCCCCAUGGUGCCCAGUCUGUGCCCAGAAAAUAAAGUGGCAGGCAGUGACCCCUA
This 471-nucleotide long non-coding RNA is filed under the name Homo sapiens (human). RNAcentral describes it as "non-protein coding lnc-MYO18A-2:1". Lineage: Eukaryota; Metazoa; Chordata; Mammalia; Primates; Hominidae. The record is from RNAcentral.